UGGCUGCUAGUUGCUAGCUGGAAGGCACGAGUGGUCAGUGGGUGGUGGGGCAGCAGGCAUGCUGAAUAAAGCCAGCGUUUGAGAUGCCUUCUAGGUCAUUCCAGGAUGUGUUUAUGGUGAUUUUAUUUUUCCAAGUCAGACUGGGAUACAAGACCCACCAGUGGAUUUGUUACUGUCGAUUGAGAGGACUUAACAGGCAGGAAACAGAAGCAGCAGAGGAAAAGGCUGGGGUUGAGAAGUCCAGUAUUUUAUUCCAGGUCAAAUACUUUUCCAGGGCCUUUAUAAUGCAUCCCCCCUUGACUCCAUCCACAGACACUGGGCCCCCCCCCUCACCUUGCCCUGGAGGAGGGACUUGCACCAUCUAACCUCCCCUGACAGGUGUGGCAGUUUCUCAGCUGUCCGCUGUGCGUGGAAGAGCCCAGAAAAGAGCCUGGGUCUGGUCUCCUGGCUGCUACUCCCUGACCUUCCCUGGGACCGCCCGCUUUUCUUGUCCAUUAGAGUGCACGGUUUUUCCCAUCACAAAGCAUGAAAACGCGACGUGUGCUCAGUACUAAGCGGAGGAAGAAGACAACACACCCAUGACAAGUUGAUCCUCGGGACCCGUAGUCUCAUCGUGUCUCACCCAGAGGACAGCAGAGUGUGUAGGCGGUGGCUUGGUCGGUUGGCGAUCUCCCAACAGCUGGAUCUCCGGCAAUGUGAAGCUUUCAUUUGGGAUUUCCCCCCUCCUUUUAGUUUUGCUUCAUUUUUUUUUUAAUCUUAUUUUUUGUCCUUUUUUCCCUUUUUUUUUUUUUUUUUUUAAUUUAAGCGAUUAAGACUUCAGAAGAGCAAGAAACUAUUCUGUGGAGAAACAACACAGACAAAGCAUAUGUAUAAAUUCCAUUUUUAAUUUUUAUAAGGGGUUAGGGAGCUAUUUUGUUUUGUUCCUUUAUUUUCCCCCUGUCUUCUUGGUUUUUACCCAUUCCUCGGUUCUGUUUCCAAUCCCUCGCAUCCCCAGAGGAGGCCUGCCUCUCUAUGGAGACCGGGGGUCAGUCCUACCGUGGGGGUGUGAAGCCAGGAGGCAGCCUGUGGGCCUCCCCCCCCCACCCUAUCCCCCACCAGACGCGGGCACUGCCGGGCUGUUCCAUGCUCGCCCUCAGGCCUUAGAGAUGAUCAGAGGCGAAGAACCAUCUAGAAGAGGAAGACCGGGUUUGGCCAGGAGAACUCAAAGUCUAAACUGUGGGUUUGCUCUCUUUCCGGCUUCUGGAAGCUCUGGGCCACACCAGGACACGCAGUGGUGGACAUCCACUCCCUCUUCUGCCCCUUGGGCUGCUGUCUCUUCGAACAGAUGGGAAAAACAGUUCCCAAACUCGACCACAGCCCUCCCUGCCUGCAACCUCCCCUCAAGUCCCCAGUGA
This 1394-nucleotide long non-coding RNA is filed under the name Suricata suricatta (meerkat). Its description in RNAcentral is "lncRNA (ENSSSUG00005014700.1)". The record is from RNAcentral. Lineage: Eukaryota; Metazoa; Chordata; Mammalia; Carnivora; Herpestidae.